GGUUCUGUGGUGUAGUGGUUAUCACGUCAGUUUUACACACUGAAGGUCAUGGGUUCAACCCCCGUCAGGACCU
RNAcentral lists this transfer RNA (73 nucleotides) under Intoshia linei. It matches the Rfam family "tRNA". From Rfam's summary of the family: Transfer RNA (tRNA) molecules are approximately 80 nucleotides in length. Their secondary structure includes four short double-helical elements and three loops (D, anti-codon, and T loops). The record is from Rfam by way of RNAcentral. Lineage: Eukaryota; Metazoa; Orthonectida; Rhopaluridae.